Molecule: non-coding RNA, 882 nt
Organism: Camellia sinensis
Lineage: Eukaryota; Viridiplantae; Streptophyta; Magnoliopsida; Ericales; Theaceae
Source: RefSeq, a predicted model, not a curated record
UGCAGCAGUCACUGAUCCUGUUCUGUAAGGAUAAAUCACUAUUAAUAUGCUGUGAAUAAUCUGCAGGAAAUUUGAGAGGGAAUUUAAUUCUGAGCUUGAGAGUCUCGGGCCAAUUUUGAGCAGCAGUUCUCAAGCCGAGCCAUAUUUAACUCAUCCUGCUCAGUGGAUUCUUAGUGUUGGAAGGGACCAAUCGAGUGUCUAAAUGUAAUCAUCCUUACUGCAACAAAUGUUACCGAGCUGGACGGGCAAUGGGAUUGUCUGAUUGAAUUAACAAGUUCUAGUGGCCUUCUAGCAUUGGCGGAACCGUUUGUAUCUAAGCGCUUGAGAACCACUCAGUCAGAUGUAGAAACUGCUCAACCUCUAUCAAAACUGUGUCUUGAAUUCCCAGAUCUUUACAUAGGUUGCUAUCGUGAAUCCAGAACUGGUCCCCUUGUUAUUAGUUUUGAAGGCAAGGAUCAAUCAAGAGUAGAAGCAGCUGCGGAAGCACAUUGCAAGAAGUUUCAUCCUGGGGCUUUCUAUGAAAUCAAUUGACUUGAGGGGGGUGAAACUGCUCGUCUUUGAACCAUAGCCUGCUCGGGCAUUGACUGAGCUUUGUUGUAGCGGCGUCAGGCGGCCUUUCUAUCGGGGGAUUAAGAUAGUUGGUGGGUGGGUGGCAUUGGAAUUACAACGGGGGAAAGGUUUAUUUUAUUUUAUUUUAUUUUAAAAUCAUUAAGAAAAUAAUUAAAAAUUAAAAAUAGAACAAUUUCGGAACUUGUAAAGACCUUGAUUUAAUUUUUAGGAAGGGAAUUGUUAAGCACUGUUGUCAGGCUAGUAACAAGCGCACAAGACAAUGUAUUAGUUGUUGGGCAAAGGAAAGAAAUGUUGUUGCUGAUCCAAUUGAAA